This 233-nucleotide ribosomal RNA is filed under the name uncultured bacterium. RNAcentral describes it as "partial 16S ribosomal RNA". It matches the Rfam family "Bacterial small subunit ribosomal RNA", at positions 99 to 334 of the family's 1533-position model. The record is from RNAcentral.
CGGACGGGUGAGUAAUGUAUGGGGAUCUGCCUGAUGGCGGGGGAUAACUACUGGAAACGGUAGCUAAUACCGCAUAAUGUCUACGGACCAAAGCGGGGGACCUCCCGGGCCUCGCGCCAUCAGAUGAACCCAUAUGGGAUUAGCUAGUAGGUAAGGUAACGGCUUACCUAGGCGACGAUCCCUAGCUGGUCUGAGAGGAUGAUCAGCCACACUGGGACUGAGACACGGCCCAG